RNAcentral lists this long non-coding RNA (846 nucleotides) under Ananas comosus (pineapple). Its description in RNAcentral is "long non-coding RNA (ACOM_LNC008341)". Lineage: Eukaryota; Viridiplantae; Streptophyta; Magnoliopsida; Poales; Bromeliaceae. The record is from RNAcentral.
GUGGUUUCGAACGUUCUCACUUUAGUACCAUAGAGUUUAAAAUGUAUCAAGUUAGUGUUCUGUCGUUUUAUGUUUAUUUUUUCAUCAGAUUUUUCGUUAAUAUUUCGUUAAAUUAUAUACACAAAACUUUAGAUAGCCUAUCUAGGUUUAUCAAAUAUUCAUUUUAGUAUCUUUUAGUUUUAACUUUGUCCCUGAUUCAAUAAAAAAAUUAGUAAAAUCGAUAAUAAAAGGAUAAAAAUAAAAUCAUAUGAUACUAAAUUGAUACACUUUAAAUUAUAGGGUACUAAAGUGUGAAAGUAUGAAAUCACUGAGAUGGUAUUUGAAGUUUUUCCUAAUAAAUUUACACUGUUAUAUGAACCUUAUAAUUUAAAAUUUGUUAUAUAUAUAAGAUACAAUAGGACUAAAUUUUUCAGAAUAUUUUGAGCGGUGUUUAUAUAUAGUUUUAAAAUUGUUGAUCACCUCAUGAAAUUCUUUUUAGUAAAAUUUAAUAUGUGACUUGUUAAAGGUGCCUCGAAAUUUGAUUUAUCAACAGAUUCGUCAUGCGGAAAAUUUUUUGGAAAAAUGAAUUGCGAACUAAAAAAUAAAUGUCUGUGCUGCACGGAUCUGAUUUGAUAAUGAAGAACUCGUUAAGAAAUUUUCUCCUCCUCUUUUGUCCUAAAGGCGAUGCAGCAUAUUGUAUCUACAAAUAAUUUUUUACGUAAAUUUUUAUAUUUAUUUUAUUUUUUAUUUAUGGUUUGUCUAUUUUACGUUCACCAUUUUUUGUUUUCGUUUGUGCGCCUGUUGUUACCCGACUGGUAUACAAAAUUAUUUACAAUGAAACUUAUAAGUAUGCAAAAAAUAUAAUAU